This 903-nucleotide ribosomal RNA is filed under the name Bacillus sp. D1-52. RNAcentral's name for it is "bacterial SSU rRNA". It matches the Rfam family "Bacterial small subunit ribosomal RNA", at positions 63 to 947 of the family's 1533-position model. Lineage: Bacteria; Bacillati; Bacillota; Bacilli; Caryophanales; Bacillaceae. The record is from RNAcentral.
UCAGCGAAUGGAUUAGAGCUUGCUCUUAUGAAGUUAGCGGCGGACGGGUGAGUAACACGUGGGUAACCUGCCCAUAAGACUGGGAUAACUCCGGGAAACCGGGGCUAAUACCGGAUAACAUUUUGAACCGCAUGGUUCGAAAUUGAAAGGCGGCUUCGGCUGUCACUUAUGGAUGGACCCGCGUCGCAUUAGCUAGUUGGUGAGGUAACGGCUCACCAAGGCAACGAUGCGUAGCCGACCUGAGAGGGUGAUCGGCCACACUGGGACUGAGACACGGCCCAGACUCCUACGGGAGGCAGCAGUAGGGAAUCUUCCGCAAUGGACGAAAGUCUGACGGAGCAACGCCGCGUGAGUGAUGAAGGCUUUCGGGUCGUAAAACUCUGUUGUUAGGGAAGAACAAGUGCUAGUUGAAUAAGCUGGCACCUUGACGGUACCUAACCAGAAAGCCACGGCUAACUACGUGCCAGCAGCCGCGGUAAUACGUAGGUGGCAAGCGUUAUCCGGAAUUAUUGGGCGUAAAGCGCGCGCAGGUGGUUUCUUAAGUCUGAUGUGAAAGCCCACGGCUCAACCGUGGAGGGUCAUUGGAAACUGGGAGACUUGAGUGCAGAAGAGGAAAGUGGAAUUCCAUGUGUAGCGGUGAAAUGCGUAGAGAUAUGGAGGAACACCAGUGGCGAAGGCGACUUUCUGGUCUGUAACUGACACUGAGGCGCGAAAGCGUGNGGAGCAAACAGGAUUAGAUACCCUGGUAGUCCACGCCGUANACGAUGAGUGCUAAGUGUUAGAGGGUUUCCGCCCUUUAGUGCUGAAUUAACGCAUUAAGCACUCCGCCUGGGGAGUACGGCCGCAAGGCUGAAACUCAAAGGAAUUGACGGGGGCCCGCACAAACGGUGGAGCAUGUGGUUU